GACGAACGCUGGCGGCGUGCCUAAUACAUGCAAGUAGAACGCUGAAGGAGGAGCUUGCUUCUCCGGAUGAGUUGCGAACGGGUGAGUAACGCGUAGGUAACCUGCCUGGUAGCGGGGGAUAACUAUUGGAAACGAUAGCUAAUACCGCAUAACAGUAGAUGUUGCAUGACAUUUGCUUAAAAGGUGCAAUUGCAUCACUACUAGAUGGACCUGCGUUGUUUUAGCUAGUUGGUGAGGUAACGGCUCAACUAGGGGACGAUACAUAGCCGACCUGAGAGGGUGGACGGCCACACUGGGACUGAGACACGGCCCAGACUCCUACGGGAGGCAGCAGUAGGGAAUCUUCGGCAAUGGACGGAAGUCUUACCGAGCAACGCCGCGGUAGUGAAGAAGGUUGUCGGAUCGUAAAGCUCUGUUGUAAGAGAAGAACGAGUGUUAGGGUGGAAAGUUCACACUGUGACGGUAUCUUAACAGAAAGGGACGGCUAACUACGUG
RNAcentral lists this ribosomal RNA (495 nucleotides) under uncultured bacterium. Its description in RNAcentral is "partial 16S ribosomal RNA". It matches the Rfam family "Bacterial small subunit ribosomal RNA", at positions 28 to 507 of the family's 1533-position model. The record is from RNAcentral.